GAUGAAUUAUAUCUUGCAUCAACCACCCUAAUGAAAUUGCCCACCGCCGAAACCUUCACCACCCUGCUUGAGCCCUCUCUUCCCUCUUUUCGGCGUUCUCACACUUCAUAUCCCCGACUCCAACCAGUAAUCCUAGUCUUGACUCGCCCCAUGGGCUCUUCGUUGCCCACAAGCGUCCCAUCAUGACCACCUCCGUCGUUGGCCCUGCCGAGCCCCGCCGCAUCUUAGUCUCCAUUCGUCCCUUCAUCGUCACGUGAUCUCCCCUCUCUCUUCCGCUCAAUUCUCAUCAUUGUCGAGUCUACCGUCGGUCGACGGAAAUUUCUAGAACCUUAUGAAGCCCUACACGUAUAAAGAAAGCCUAUCCACUGGGAGCAUACUGUCCACUUAUAACAUUGAGCAAAACUAGUAAUAUCUGUGAUCCCAUACAUGUGGAAGUGCUAUGGGCAGAUAUUGAAUCUAGUGGUGAAAUGUUUUGUCCUGCAGGAUCCUUUUGCCCAAGUACUAUACGGAGAGUUUCUUGUAACAUUGGGCCACCACUCCAGAAUUUAGAGCAUAUCAAGAGCAAGUGUUGAAGAAUUGUGCUACAUUCGUUAAGGGAAUUGAUGGAUCUAGAGUCAAGAAGGUGCUAAAGUCGGUACAUAUUGCAGCUAACAAUAGUUCCUCUUGGUGCAAUUCCAACAUAGAAGAAGUGCGCUAUUCAUGUAUUCAUUGGGCAUAAUAUCAAAAGCUAUUAGGAUAAAUAGAGACGACGUAGACUUUUCUUGGCAUGUGAUGGAUCAAAGCAGAGGGAGGGUAGAAAAUCAUGUGCACCAGCAAACCUUUUUAGUUAACUGUGAAAUUAGGUUCCUUUUUAGUUAUUUCUAAUGGUGCAUUGCCUUUGGAUG
Molecule: long non-coding RNA, 884 nt
Organism: Zingiber officinale
Lineage: Eukaryota; Viridiplantae; Streptophyta; Magnoliopsida; Zingiberales; Zingiberaceae
Exons: 6
Source: RefSeq, a predicted model, not a curated record